GAUUAAGCCAUGCAUGUCUAAGUAUAAGCAAUUAUACAGCGAAACUGCGAAUGGCUCAUUAUAUAAGUUAUCGUUUAUUUGAUAGUGCCUUACUACUUGGAUAACCGUGGUAAUUCUAGAGCUAAUACAUGCUACAAGCCCUGACUUCGGAAGGGGCGUAUUUAUUAGAUUAAAAACCAAUGCCCUCUGGGCUCCUUGGUGAAUCAUGAUAACUUCACGAAUCGCACGGCCUUGCGCCGGCGAUGGCUCAUUCAAAUUUCUUCCCUAUCAACUUUCGAUGUUUGGGUAGUGGCCAAACAUGGUUGCAACGGGUAACGGAGGGUUAGGGCUCGACCCCGGAGAAGGAGCCUGAGAAACGGCUACUACAUCCAAGGAAGGCAGCAGGCGCGCAAAUUACCCAAUCCCGAUUCGGGGAGGUAGUGACAAUAAAUACUGAUACAGGGCUCUUUCGGGUCUUGUAAUCGGAAUGAGUACAAUUUAAAUCCCUUAACGAGGAACAAUUGGAGGGCAAGUCUGGUGCCAGCAGCCGCGGUAAUUCCAGCUCCAAUAGCGUAUAUUAAAGUUGUUGUGGUUAAAAAGCUCGUAGUUGAACCUUGGGCCUGGCUGGCCGGUCCGCCUCACCGCGUGUACUGGUCCGGCCGGGCCUUUCCCUCUGUGGAACCUCAUGCCCUUCACUGGGUGUGCUGGGGAAACAGGACUUUUACUUUGAAAAAAUUAGAGUGCUCCAGGCAGGCCUAUGCUCGAAUACAUUAGCAUGGAAUAAUAAAAUAGGACGUGCGGUUCUAUUUUGUUGGUUUCUAGGACCGCCGUAAUGAUUAAUAGGGACAGUCGGGGGCAUCAGUAUUCAAUUGUCAGAGGUGAAAUUCUUGGAUUUAUUGAAGACUAACUACUGCGAAAGCAUUUGCCAAGGAUGUUUUCAUUAAUCAGGAACGAAAGUUAGGGGAUCGAAAACGAUCAGAUACCGUUGUAGUCUUAACCAUAAACUAUGCCGACUAGGGAUCGGACGAUGUUAUUUUUUGACUCGUUCGGCACCUUACGAGAAAUCAAAGUGCUUGGGCUCCAGGGGGAGUAUGGUCGCAAGGCUGAAA
This 1088-nucleotide ribosomal RNA is filed under the name Stachybotrys echinatus. RNAcentral describes it as "SSU rRNA". It matches the Rfam family "Eukaryotic small subunit ribosomal RNA", at positions 42 to 1142 of the family's 1831-position model. Lineage: Eukaryota; Fungi; Ascomycota; Sordariomycetes; Hypocreales; Stachybotryaceae. The record is from RNAcentral.